GACGAGGUGGCUGAGUGGUAAAGGUGAUGGACUGCUAAUCCAUUGUGCUCUUCAUACGUGGGUUCGAAUCCCACCCUCGUCG
RNAcentral lists this transfer RNA (82 nucleotides) under Meleagris gallopavo (turkey). Its description in RNAcentral is "tRNA-Ser (GCT) (tRNA-Ser-GCT-5-1)". It matches the Rfam family "tRNA". From Rfam's summary of the family: Transfer RNA (tRNA) molecules are approximately 80 nucleotides in length. Their secondary structure includes four short double-helical elements and three loops (D, anti-codon, and T loops). Further hydrogen bonds mediate the characteristic L-shaped molecular structure. tRNAs have two regions of fundamental functional importance: the anti-codon, which is responsible for specific mRNA codon recognition, and the 3' end, to which the tRNAs corresponding amino acid is attached (by aminoacyl-tRNA synthetases). tRNAs cope with the degeneracy of the genetic code in two manners: having more than one tRNA (with a specific anti-codon) for a particular amino acid; and 'wobble' base-pairing, i.e. permitting non-standard base-pairing at the 3rd anti-codon position. The record is from Rfam by way of RNAcentral. Lineage: Eukaryota; Metazoa; Chordata; Aves; Galliformes; Phasianidae.